AGACAGCGCUAUCGCGCUUCCUCAGCCCGAACGGCAUCGAAGUAACGACUGGAUAAAACAAGCUUCUUAUCCGAAAAUCACG
RNAcentral lists this non-coding RNA (82 nucleotides) under Legionella shakespearei DSM 23087. RNAcentral describes it as "Legionella RNA 69". It matches the Rfam family "Legionella RNA 69". Lineage: Bacteria; Pseudomonadati; Pseudomonadota; Gammaproteobacteria; Legionellales; Legionellaceae. The record is from Rfam by way of RNAcentral.